AUUGAACGCUGGCGGCAUGCCUUACACAUGCAAGUCGAACGGCAGCGGGCCUUCGGGUGCCGGCGAGUGGCGAACGGGUGAGUAAUGCAUCGGAACGUGCCAUUGAGUGGGGGAUAACGUAGCGAAAGUUACGCUAAUACCGCAUAUUCUGUGAGCAGGAAAGCAGGGGACCGCAAGGCCUUGCGCUCUUUGAGCGGCCGAUGUCAGAUUAGCUAGUUGGUGAGGUAAAGGCUUACCAAGGCGACGAUCUGUAGCGGGUCUGAGAGGAUGAUCCGCCACACUGGAACUGAGACACGGUCCAGACUCCUACAGGAGGCAGCAGUGGGGAAUUUUGGACAAUGGGCGCAAGCCUGAUCCAGCCAUGCCGCGUGAGUGAAG
This 378-nucleotide ribosomal RNA is filed under the name uncultured bacterium. RNAcentral's name for it is "bacterial SSU rRNA". It matches the Rfam family "Bacterial small subunit ribosomal RNA", at positions 30 to 410 of the family's 1533-position model. The record is from RNAcentral.